Molecule: long non-coding RNA, 2786 nt
Filed under: Lactuca sativa (garden lettuce)
Lineage: Eukaryota; Viridiplantae; Streptophyta; Magnoliopsida; Asterales; Asteraceae
Description: long non-coding RNA (LSAT_LNC003430)
Source: RNAcentral
UCAGCUCCCCAAUCUGUUUUGUCUUCAUAACCACAACUGAUGACAUGAAUCGCUUCUUUCAACAGAGUUUCAGGUGCUGCAGACUGAGGGACGCCUCCAUUUUCCAUAAGUGUAGAUGCAACAAACACAGCCGAUUGUCCAAAUCUUUUUUCAAGCGACAUUUGUGACAUAAGCAAUGAUUUCUCAUCAUCAAAUCCAGCACCUGAAUAUAUACAGAUAUAAUGAAUCAAAUCAAGAAAAAUGGAAAAACUAUAUACAUAAGAUGAUCAUACAAUAUACAUACCUUCAACUCCUUCUUCUAUAUCUUCCAGGUUGAAAAUUGGCACAGUGGGGUCAACGUUUUUGUUUGAUUUCUUUUUAUCUGAUCCCUUUUUGCUUGAUUUGGAACUCUUCUUUCGUGAUCCACCAAAGCAAGAAGAAAAGAAGCCAUCUUCUCUCUUCUUCUUAGGCUUAAGUGGAGGUUCAUAACCAUAUAGAGCUGUUCUAUUGAACACACAUCCAGUUCCCACAUAAACCGGACCUUGAAUCCCAUCUAAACCUCUCAAGUUAAUCUGUUCAUCAAACAAAUUAAAAACAAUCAAUCAAAUGCGGAAAUAUAGAUUAACUGAUUAAAAAAGAUGAAAGAACUCACAUCAAAGAACACUGUGUUUCUGUUAGCAUAUCGAUCGUUUCUAUCAAUACCAUCAAAUCUCUGUGGAAACUGUACAUAACAUACGUAUUUUCCAAGAUUUGGAUCCAUCAUAAAACACAUAGCUUCUCUAAUAGCCUUACUGUUGUUAAUGUAAUGAUCACAAUCAAGAUUCAACAAAAACGGGCCAUUUGUAAGAACUGCAGAUACUCGAACCUGCAAUCAACAAGAUUCAAAUCCAUCUAUAUAAGUCAAUAUUCAUGUCAAAACGAUUAAAACUUGAAUUGAAUUUGUGUAAAACUACGCACAAGGGAAUUCAUGGCACCAGCUUUCUUGUGAUGUUGAAAACCUGGACGCUUUUCUCUUGAAACAUAAACCAAUCUUGGCAACUCAUUACCCUCACUAUCAAGCCCUCCAUUUUGACCCAAGAAAACCUGAAAAAAAAAGUAUAUUUAUAAUUAAUUAGACCUGAAUUAUCCCAAAAAAAAAGUAAAAAUGAUUGAAGAGAUUAAUUAACCUGAAUCAUUCCUGGAUGAUCCCUAGUGUUAUUUCCAGGCCAAGGAGUUCCAUCCUGCAUAAUCCAACCUUCAUCAGGGACUUUCUGAGCUUUUGCAACAAGACCAUUUACACGAAUUUUAAACUCUUCAUAUUCUCUCUUCAUAGCUCUUCGAUCUUUAACAAAAGUUGGUUGAAUUUUAUCUUUCAAGUAGUCAAUCUUCUGGUUGAAAUACCAUUCAGGAGCACGGGGCUCAAUGUUGUAUUUCUUGCAAAAAGGAACCCAUUUUCUUGCAAACUCAGAUGUUUCUGAUAGUGACUCAAACGACAGCAUGGCAGCCCCGUCAUCAGACACAUAACAUGACACCUUGUCAACCGGGUAGUCAACCGCCAGGAUGGACAGCACCGUGUUGGCUGUGACAAGUGGCGGCUCCUUCAACGGGUCCACAGUACUCACAAAUAUAUCAACAGCAGCUAGUUGUGAUGGCUCCCCUUCUCUCUCAUACCUAUCAAAUAUAAUAAUUAAUCCAUGUUUUUUCUUUCUUUCUUUAAAAGGGUAUCAAGAUCAUACAUUCAUGUUACCUUAGGGAUAGCCGAUCAAGAUAUGUUUCACGAUUAAUUGGAAGCCAUUUAGGGAACUGAUCCAAAAUCCAAGAAAAAGCAAACCAAAUCUCACAAAUAACAGAGAGUAACCAUAAUGGAUAUGCAUUUGUCACAGGGUUUGUUAUUCGAUAGUGCAAAAAGAUGCAAAGAAUAACCAGCCGAAGAACAAUGACCAUUCUGUAUGGAUUUAUUCUUGAUGAUGGAAUGGAGACUUUUCUUGAAAGUGGUUGUCUGGCUUCAUCGUUCCUUUACAAAAACAACACACAUCAUAUUAUAUUAAUCAGUCAAGCAAAAUCUCAUAUUGGAUGAUAUGAAAAAAGUCAAAAACCAAGAAAUAAAGAGGGAACUUACAGCAAUGAAUCAUCAACUAACACAUCUGUAUUGGCAUCAAUGUCUUGACCUCUUUCAGAAGCAGGGCGACUUGUUGUCAUUGGAACUACAUUCUUGUCUUGUUUCAUUUUCCACCCAUCAACUCUCUCUUUCCAUGCAACAUUUCCUAGUCCUGUAGAUCCGUAAUCUCUCACAGGGUCCACAACUCUAACAUUGGCUGCAAACAAAACAAAACCCUGUUUUUAGAAGUUGGAAAGUUUGUGAAUUAUGAGUUAUUAAUAUUAUUAAAGCAUAAAAGACAUACGGGAUUGAUUCGCAUAUGCAGAAUAAGGGAGUGAAUGUGUUAGUCUUUCUCCACCAGGUGGAGGUGAAGACACUGAAAGGCGUUGUGGAGAAGCUGCAGACAACUCACCAGAAACCUGAAAAACAAGCAAGACAUGAAAAGUAUGCUCAAAAUUACAGAUUUGCCACAAUGUAGACAUGAAUAGGAUGAAAAAGCCAAGUCAAGUGAUGUAUGUACCUCUUGUCCACUGGUGAGUAAAGGUAUGUGGUUAUGAGAGACCUCUUUAUCAUAAUUUGGAGUAUUAGUGUCUUCUCCUCUUCCAUAUGUCAUGUGCCAGCUCAGCAUUCGCUCUGCAGUCUUCUGCUUCUCACUUUGGGUUUGUGAAGAGAAGGGGAAAUUAGUAGUUUCUUCAUCAGUGUCAACAUCCUCCUCUUUGUCUCCAGCAAU